CUUUUUUUGGGAAAGUAUUUUUUUUUACACUACAUGUGCUUAAUGUAACGUGUUGCUUAGGUAGCUAUUUUAUUAUAGAUUCAAAGGGAUCGCGUCUGCUUUUUUAUUCUGGCUUUCUUACAGGUUCAUUAGAACAUGAAUAUGAAAAUCAAAAGUAAUAUUUCAGUAUCGACUUGAUACGUAGCCGACACGAUUCACAAAACUAAGUACAUAUUUGUUUCUUAUAGAGAUGACAAUACCUGAUACAAAACUGUGGUUGCGUUUUAAAAUGCCGUUUAAUAAAAUAAGGAGAAAAGAGUGCAGCCUAGACGCCGUCAAUGGAUGCUCUCAAUUCACACUUAUCUGGUUUCGACGAAUAUUCGUUUUAUCGCGAUAACACGAAUUAAGGAUGGUGUGCAAUAUGAGUGAGACGCCUGCCAUCGAGCGAGUCUUGUUGUUCAAUGACGCGGACGGACGCGGCGCGGUGUUCGCAGUCGCGUAGCGGGGAGGACGGGCGGGCGGGCGGUGCACCGGCUGCCCCGAUGUCGCCGCACACUAAGCUGUUCGUAGUGUGUAACAUUGCUGUCUCACACAUUCAAAUAAUCUGUCUAGUUCACUUUGUGUGCUCAAUCGGUACUUAGGUUCUACAAUAUAACAAUAAGUCAUGGAAAGCACAAAGGUUUCUUGGCAUUGCAGUUGUAUUAUAGGAAUAAGAUAAAGUUUGUUUGAGAUAAAGAAACGCGUGCUCUUGAUUAUUUCAAAAAUACUUGCUACGGCCAGCGUCCAGUACGGACAGAGAUUGGGAACUCUUUUAUAGACUUUCAAAUACAAAGGUCAUGGAUUCGGGACCGAAAACCGUACCAUAUAUUGCAAAUCCGGAAGGGAGACGCUGCUAUACGCAGUGUAUUGCGCUGUCACGCUUCCACAAUAGCAAUAAUAUUAAUUUAAGACACGGCGGUAGGAUCCGUGUUUGUUUACCCUCGUAUUGGACAAGCUGUGAGAGUAUAUUCUGAGUGUAUCGACCAGGGCGUGGGCAUACUCAUGUGUAAGAUAGUGAUGACAACGACUCACGGGGUUGGCGGCGGCGGCUGCGGCGGCAGCGUGUCGGCGGCGCAGGUGCGGGCGGGCCAGCGCGCCCGCGGCCGCGCAUACCAGCACAGCGGCGCCAACGCAUGCGCCCGCCCACCACCACUCUGGAAACAAUUUCGUUAAAUCUUUAUUUUUUAUUUUCUAUUAUAAAGCAAUGCUUGAGAAGUUGGUCACAUCACCUACAAUGAAUUCUAUACUGACUGGAUGGGCUAGAAACGUUAACGAACAGAAACCCGCAAAACAAUAUGUUUAAGGAAGAAUAAUUGGCAUUAAUAUUCAACUUUAAGAUGUUUUAGUGUCGAUGGUGGUGUAUUUAUAGCAUUAAAGCUUGGUCGAGUGUGAUGUUUGGCCUUCAAUACUC
Long non-coding RNA from Trichoplusia ni (cabbage looper), 1429 nucleotides. RefSeq lists it as uncharacterized. The record is from RefSeq and is a predicted model, not a curated record. The transcript is spliced from 4 exons. NCBI's taxonomy places the organism in Eukaryota, Metazoa, Arthropoda, Insecta, Lepidoptera, Noctuidae.